This 253-nucleotide ribosomal RNA is filed under the name uncultured bacterium. RNAcentral describes it as "partial 16S ribosomal RNA". It matches the Rfam family "Bacterial small subunit ribosomal RNA", at positions 524 to 776 of the family's 1533-position model. The record is from RNAcentral.
UACGGGGGGAGCAAGCGUUGUUCGGACUUACUGGGCGUAAAGGGCGCGUAGGCGGUAGCACAAGUCAGUUGUGAAAUCUCCGGGCUUAACUCGGAAAGGUCAACUGAUACUGUGCGACUAGAGUGCAGAAGGGGCAACUGGAAUUCUCGGUGUAGCGGUGAAAUGCGUAGAUAUCGAGAGGAACACCUGCGGCGAAGGCGGGUUGCUGGGCUGACACUGACGCUGAUGCGCGAAAGCCAGGGGAGCGAACGGG